AUAACUUACUUUAUCAUUAGAAAUAACAGUCUCUGAACCCGCGCAGUCCUCUCGAGGGCGUUUCUUGGAGCUCGUGGGCGCGCUGGAGCUGCGACGGUCCUGGAAAUUUCCAGAAGUCUGCACCGUCAAAACACUUGCCGCGUGCUUCCUUGUGUCGCAGUGUGUGGCCUUGCGAUGAUAAAGAGCCGCUUCUUCUUGUUUCUCAGGGUCCUCGAAGUAGUACGGUCUCUUUCUGGAGCGGCCGCCCAGUAAAGCCAUCAGGGACGGCUGACUCAGACCCCCGGUCGGAGCCAUGCUUCCCAGCUGCAUGUCAACACUGCAAAGUGAGCGGUAGCAUCUUUUGGAGGGAGAGUCGUGCAGCAGAGCGUCCUCGGCGCGUCUCUUCGCCAUGAACGUCAGCUCCGUCGGUGCACUAAACCAAACCAGCGGAUGUUCUUUCCCCAUGCUGCUUCAAAUAAUUCCCAGAAAAAACACCACAGACCAGACAUGAUCUCAGUCUCUUCAAUAGUAGCUACAGCCCUGAUUGUAAUGAUCUACUUUCUGGGUUGCUACGUGACGUGCUGGUAUAAAAGACAAUUCAUUGGCUUCCUGUUCGAUCAGCCUAAGACUGUGACUGUCAUACUUGGCCUUCUGCUUAUUGCCCAGGUACCAUCCAUCCACCAAGUAAUGUACCAUGUCAGUUAUUAAGCUAUUAACACUGGUUACAAAACUGAACUUUGCCUCUAAAAUGGAACAUUUAAUUUAAAAGUUUCCAUUGGCUACAUCAUCCAAUAAAUGACAUGCAGCUGUGGUUGUCAUGCUAUAUAUGUG
Molecule: long non-coding RNA, 810 nt
Organism: Micropterus dolomieu (smallmouth bass)
Lineage: Eukaryota; Metazoa; Chordata; Actinopteri; Centrarchiformes; Centrarchidae
Exons: 3
Source: RefSeq, a predicted model, not a curated record